AUACCUGUUCGAGCGUCAUUACACCUCUCAAAGUUAACUCUUUGGCGUUGGGCAAUGCCUAGAGGCAUGCCUCAAAAUCAGCGAUGGUGAUAUUCAACCACAGGCGCACACACGUCGUCUAGCUGGCGGGAUGUUGUCAGUCAAUUGAUGAAUUUCUCAAUGUUGACCUCGGAUCAGGUAGGAUUACCCGCUGAACUUAA
RNAcentral lists this unclassified non-coding RNA (200 nucleotides) under soil metagenome. RNAcentral's name for it is "partial contains internal transcribed spacer 2 and large subunit ribosomal RNA". The record is from RNAcentral.